This 225-nucleotide ribosomal RNA is filed under the name uncultured bacterium. RNAcentral describes it as "partial 16S ribosomal RNA". It matches the Rfam family "Bacterial small subunit ribosomal RNA", at positions 109 to 334 of the family's 1533-position model. The record is from RNAcentral.
AGUAACGCGUGAGGAACCUGCCUUUCAGAGGGGGACAACAGUUGGAAACGACUGCUAAUACCGCAUGACACAUUGGGGUCGCAUGGCCCUGAUGUCAAAGAUUUAUCGCUGAAAGAUGGCCUCGCGUCUGAUUAGCUAGUUGGUGAGGUAACGGCCCACCAAGGCGACGAUCAGUAGCCGGACUGAGAGGUUGGCCGGCCACGUUGGGACUGAGACACGGCCCAG